GUAGUAUUCCCUCCGUCCCAAAAUUCUUGUCUUACAUUUGUUUAGAUACCGAUGCAUCUAACACUAAAAUGUAACUAGAUACAUCCGUAUUUAGACAAAUUUAAGACAAGAAUUUUGGGACGGAGGGAGUACAAA
Molecule: non-coding RNA, 135 nt
Organism: Triticum aestivum (bread wheat)
Lineage: Eukaryota; Viridiplantae; Streptophyta; Magnoliopsida; Poales; Poaceae
Source: Rfam